GACGAACGCUGGCGGCGUGCCUAAUACAUGCAAGUUGAGCGCUGAAGGUUGGUACUUGUACCAACUGGAUGAGCAGCGCACGGGUGAGUAACGCGUGGGGAAUCUGCCUUUGAGCGGGGGACAACAUUUGGAAACGAAUGCUAAUACCGCAUAAAAACUUUAAACACAAGUUUUAAGUUUGAAAGAUGCAAUUGCAUCACUCAAAGAUGAUCCCGCGUUGUAUUAGCUAGUUGGUGAGGUAAAGGCUCACCAAGGCGAUGAUACAUAGCCGACCUGAGAGGGUGAUCGGCCAAAAUGGGACUGAGACACGGCCCAAACUCCUACGGGAGGCAGCAGUAGGGAAUCUUCGGCCAUGGACGGAAGUCUGACCGAGCAACGCCGCGGGAGGGAAGAAGGUUUUCGGAUCGGAAAAAUCUGUUGGUAGAGAAGAACGUUGGUGAGAGUGGAAAGCUCAUCAAGUGACGGUAACUAACCAGAAAGGGACGGCUAACUACGUG
Molecule: ribosomal RNA, 497 nt
Filed under: uncultured bacterium
Lineage: Bacteria
Description: partial 16S ribosomal RNA
Rfam family: Bacterial small subunit ribosomal RNA
Source: RNAcentral